CAUUAGCUCAGUUGGUAGAGCAUCUGACUUUUAAUCAGAGGGUCAGAGGUUCGAAUCCUCUAUGGCUCACUA
This 72-nucleotide transfer RNA is filed under the name Staphylococcus aureus F90608. RNAcentral's name for it is "tRNA-Lys". It matches the Rfam family "tRNA". Rfam says of the family: Transfer RNA (tRNA) molecules are approximately 80 nucleotides in length. Their secondary structure includes four short double-helical elements and three loops (D, anti-codon, and T loops). The record is from RNAcentral. Lineage: Bacteria; Bacillati; Bacillota; Bacilli; Caryophanales; Staphylococcaceae.